This is a long non-coding RNA of Juglans microcarpa x Juglans regia, 1484 nucleotides long. RefSeq lists it as uncharacterized. The record is from RefSeq and is a predicted model, not a curated record. NCBI's taxonomy places the organism in Eukaryota, Viridiplantae, Streptophyta, Magnoliopsida, Fagales, Juglandaceae. The transcript is spliced from 4 exons.
GUCAUUUUAAGUUCUAAUGCAGUGACACUGUCUUUUAUGUUUUGUCUUUUAGCGCAUUGUGUCUUUUCUAUCCUUCUAUUCUCUUCUUUUGGGAUCGUUUAUACGAGGUGUUUUUGGUCUUUUAAUUCAACUGUGUUAGGUGUCGGCAACUUUAGUCAUAUAUUUGUCUGAAUGGUUUUAUUUGUUUGUGUCAGCUCCCUCAAAUUCUCUCUCAUUGUCGACUCUCUCCCUCCCGAGUUCUCUCUCAAUUCAGACCCUUUCUCUUUUCUCUCUUCGUCUUCUCUCUUCUGUGCAUCUUCUCUCUUCUUUUGGUUCUUCAAAUUUGCUUUUAGUGUUGGGUUUAUUUUUUCCUUUCAUUUUGUUGAAGCUGAUUUUUUUCCUUGUCUGAUGUGCAUGUUUUCACCUUCAGUUUUGUGGUGUUCGAUUUGUGUUGAUCGACUGCGUCUUCAAUUUUGUGGGGGUCUAGAUCUGACUGGUUUUAACAACCUUAGAGCUAUGACUGAGGCCGAGGCUCUCAAAAUGAGGAACUACAGGGUCUCAAGUUUUUUCAUGUCGUUGCACCUGGUUUGAGGAUUGUAGAUGGGUUUUGGUCUCUAGAUUUCUUAACAAAAUAGAUUGAUUUCUUUUUUCUUUUUUGCUUUGCGUGCAGUGGUUGAUAUCCAAGAUUUGAUUUCUCUUCGUGUUCAUCUCUGCCUCUUCUCUCUUCAGCCCACCCCGAGCCCUAUCUCCCUCUCUACAACUGAUGUAUGGACCACGACGUCAACAACAGAGCCGUCGGCAAGCUCUGCACCACGCUAAGUCACCCCAGAUCUGCCAUUUCUCUUCUCGAUCUCCUCCACCGAGAAUUAGAAGUAGAGGAUUCGGAUCCACUGCAGGUCAGCACUCAGAUCCACCAUGGAUCUCACGUUUGUUGCUUUCUCAGCAAUUGCUUUUUUGUACAGUAUGUUGGUGUGACUCUUUCAAAGUGAGGAGAUGUUUUGGCCACUCAAUAAGAGGGUUGGAAGGCAAGGUUAUCAGUUAUAGGUUUUUCUCAUUUAUCACAAAUCUGUUGAAUGUGAGGCCCAAAAAAAAAAAAAGUGUGUCGUAGUGUUUGGUUUGAGUUUUUUCUUGCUCAGUCUUUGUUCAGGUGAGCUGUGAGUAUUGACCCCCUUGGUGUUGGCAGCAAUCCAUGGGAAGAUUUUUUGCGUGCAUAAGCUUUUUCAAGCAGGAGCGAAUAUACUAAUGUUUGAUUCUCUACAUCGAAGAACCUGCUUGCAUUAUGCUGCUUACUAUGACCAUUCAUAUUGCCUGCAAGCUAUUCUUUCUGCUACUCAUUCCACCUCUGUUUCAGAUUCUUGAGAUGGGACUACAGCCAACGGGACUGCAAACGGAAAGGCUGGUGGUAGAAAGCCAAGUCUCACGCUGGGCAGAAAAAAAAUAAAAAAGAAAUGCAUUCGCAUGGGAUUUCGUUUGAUGGAGGCAAGAUGACGUGCAGCUGGGAAGAA